Molecule: ribosomal RNA, 114 nt
Filed under: Azospira inquinata
Lineage: Bacteria; Pseudomonadati; Pseudomonadota; Betaproteobacteria; Rhodocyclales; Rhodocyclaceae
Source: RNAcentral
CUUGGCGGCCAUAGCGCUCUGGACCCACCCCUUCCCAUCCCGAACAGGACCGUGAAACGGAGUUGCGCCGAUGAUAGUGCAUAUCUCUUGUGCGAAAGUAGGUCACCGCCAGGC